Molecule: unclassified non-coding RNA, 432 nt
Filed under: soil metagenome
Description: partial contains 5.8S ribosomal RNA, internal transcribed spacer 2, and large subunit ribosomal RNA
Rfam family: 5.8S ribosomal RNA (bases 1-120)
Source: RNAcentral
GAUGAAGAACGCAGCGAAAUGCGAUACGUAAUGUGAAUUGCAGAAUUCAGUGAAUCAUCGAAUCUUUGAACGCAUAUUGCGCUCUUUGGUAUUCCGAAGAGCAUGCUUGUUUGAGUAUCAGUAAACACCUCAAAGUCUUUUUUUUUUUCUUGAAGAAAAAGACCUUGGACUUGAGCAAUCCCAACUCUUCUUUCAGAAGAGGCGGGUUGCUUGAAAUGCAGGUGCAGCUGGACAUUCUCCUGAGCUAAAAGCAUAUUCAUUUAGUCCCGUCAAACGGAUUAUUACUUUUGCUGCAGCUAACAUAAAGGGAGUUUGACCAUUUUGGCUGACUGAUGCAGGAAUUUCACAAGAGUCUUCAAAACGCUCUUGUUAAACUCGAUCUCAAAUCAAGUAAGACUACCCGCUGAACUUAAGCAUAUCAAUAAGGGAGGA